This is a long non-coding RNA of Drosophila subpulchrella, 713 nucleotides long. RefSeq lists it as uncharacterized. NCBI's taxonomy places the organism in Eukaryota, Metazoa, Arthropoda, Insecta, Diptera, Drosophilidae. The transcript has 3 exons. The record is from RefSeq and is a predicted model, not a curated record.
UUUUUCUUGCACGAAUUCUGCGCUGUCGAAAGUCGAAUUUUGUACUCCGUCGAAUUGGAAUGGGCCACAGGAACAUGACGCCAACGAAGAGCCAAAAGAAGCGCAGGAGGAAUUUAAAUUAUUUUGAAAGGGCCCUAGUGCCUGUAGAAGAUCCAGAGAUAAUUUAACCAUCACGAACAGACACCUCAUCUGAACUUCUUUCCCUUUGUGCCCCGAUCUUAGAACCGUCGCCCGACGAGUUUUGUCUGUAGGGCGUCGUUUUGACCAUCAGAAACCAGAGGAACCCUGAAACUAUGCACGGUAGAUCCGACGAUUACCCACCCAGAACGAGGCGAAACGGGUGCCGGAACAUCUCUUCGAUGUAGAUAAUGGCACCAGAGUUGGACGAUGACCCUACCUUUACACCCGAACCUCCCAUUAGUAUGAACUUUUUGGAUUUAUACGAUCCCGAUCUGCCGUCGUCAUCGGAUAUUUGGAAGAAUCCGUCAGAAGCGGAAAGGCCUCCACCCUCAAAAGCAAUGGAAUGCCUGAUGUCCAAGGCAUCUUCCUCAAAAGUAGUUGAACCCCAAGAAAACAGUUCUGUGAAGGGGCUUUUCGACUGGGUUCUGUAGAUCAUCUUUACAAAUGCGACGAUGCUGAAUGUUAGCAUUAUACCACUUGCUGUGGACAGCCUUACGUACUCCUCCAUACCGCUGUAUGGUUUGUCUAGCCCC